Non-coding RNA from Elaeis guineensis (African oil palm), 1527 nucleotides. Lineage: Eukaryota; Viridiplantae; Streptophyta; Magnoliopsida; Arecales; Arecaceae. The record is from RefSeq and is a predicted model, not a curated record.
UGCCGUUUGGCGGUGGAAAAAAUGACGAAGGGAAUUAGAGGAGGAAGACAAACCAGAGUCCCAUGGCUGUGCACCAGUACCACGGACCCUAUCUUAACCUCGCUGAAAGCCCUAAGAAGAUGGCGGCGUCAACGAUAUCCUCCGCCACCGCCGCAGCCGCCACCUACUCAUCGUCCCUCUCGCCCUCCUCUUCUCGCUCCUCCAAGAGCAAGCCCCUCAAGAUCCUCGCCAUGGCCCCCAGAAAUAAGGUGAAUAGGUACGACGAGAAUUGGAAGAAGCAGUGGUACGGCGCCGGGCUCUUCGUGGAGGGCAGCGAGGAGGUGAGCGUGGACGUGGUCAAGAAGCUUGAGAAGCGCAAAGUUCUGAGUGGCGUCGAGAAGGCCGGCCUCCUCUCCAAGGCCGAGCAACUCGGCUUCACCCUCUCCUCCAUCGAGAAGCUUGGGUUCUUCUCUAAGGCAGAGGAGCUCGGCCUCCUCAGCCUCCUCGAGCGGACCGCCGGCGCCUCCCCCUCCGCCCUCGCAUCGGUGUCGCUGCCGCUCUUGCUCGCUGCCAUCGCCGCCGUUGUCCUCAUCCCCGACGACUCCGCCGCUCUCGUGGUCGCGCAGGCCGCCGUAGCCGCCGCCCUCGGGAUCGGCGCCGCCGGGCUCUUCCUGGGGUCGGUCGUGUUGGGCGGGCUGCAAGAGUCUGACUGAACGGCGACGAAGCCGGGUCUGAGUCUAGUGCUCCGCGGUGCACGUCCGGAGUGGUCGAACUUCCUCCUCGAGCAUAGCAACAUACAGGUUGACCAAUUUUCGUCACCAAUGCCAAUUCCAUCAAGUUGGACUUUGGAUGGCAAUAGAUUGGCUAGAUCAAUGCCUUGAAACUUACAAGAGAUCUGAGUGCAUGAGCUACGAAUCUCAACCUACUCAAAGAGACUGGGGAGCAAGCCUGAAUUAAGAUGGCGGUCUACCAGCAAUGAGUAGCUUGAUACUAUAACUCCAAAAUAGCCACUGUUAUCCUCAUCCCCGAUGACUUCACUGUGUUUGUGGGUAUGCAGGCUACUAUCACCGUUGCCCUCAAGAUCAGCACCAUCAGGUUCAUGCGGUCAGCUGUGUUGGCAAAAGUCUACAAGAGUUUGACCGAACAGCGACCGAGUCGGGUCUGAGUCUAGUGCUCCACGAUGCACAUACAAAGUGAUGUGGAUCACGGGAGCUUUAAUGAAGAGAAGGAAGCAUUAGAUGAAUUUCUGAGAUACCUGGUUGUCAUAGAGUGAACACAGUAAACAGGGAGAUGCUGUGGAAACCAAAAUCAGGGAAGAUGAAAGUGUUCGGUGGAUGGGUGCUUUUCCUUCAAAACUAUUCCGGCCUCUGGGAUGAUAUGAUCCUAAGUCAAGCUUCAAGAAUUACUUAUUUUGCACUUCUGUAUCAACUGGAUCUAUUUUCCCUGGCUGCCAGAUUAUUUUCCUUUAUCUUAAGACAUUGCAUGGUGUGAUGUCACUUCAUAGCUUUCUGGGUUUCAUAUAAUUUGAUAGCACUGCAAUACCUCACC